Glycine soja is the source of this 720-nucleotide long non-coding RNA. RefSeq lists it as uncharacterized. The record is from RefSeq and is a predicted model, not a curated record. Lineage: Eukaryota; Viridiplantae; Streptophyta; Magnoliopsida; Fabales; Fabaceae. The transcript is spliced from 2 exons.
UUUAAACAUUCAAUUUGGUCUUCCAAGACACAAUUGUAAUCUUUUCAUCAGAUCCUCACUAACAGUGUUUGCAGUGUCAGGUGACAUGGCUUGGGAGGUUCUUCAUCUGGUGACAUUAAGGAAAUCGUUCGGUGGUCGUGGUGUGAGCGGCGACGGUGCGAACAACAGUGGUGUCAGUGAUAGAGCUCCACUGUCGCCUGUUUGCAAUUGAAAGCAGUUGGUGGUUGUGCAAACAACGUUCACAACAGCCUCGGGAGAAGAUUUUGGGGUUGUCCUAACUACAGGGUGAGGGUUUUAUUGAAAGUGUUGUGUUGAUCCCUAUUUUUUUAUGGCCAUGGUUGAUUUGUAUUUGUGUUUUUGUUUGAGAAACAACGUGGGAGUGCGAGUGGCUGCAACUUCUUUCAAUGGUGUCCAAAUGACAUUAAUGACAAAGAUCUUGUUAUUGCCAGACAGAGGAGGAAGAUUAACAACCUUGAAAGUUCAUUGAAGGCAAAGGAAAAAUGGCUGAAAAUUUUCAUUGUAAUUUGUUGUGUUCUGUUAGUCAUGAUUGUUAUACUCAUUUGACUAAACAUGGUUGUCAAAGGAGUUAUCCAUGGAAGGAUUAUGUAUCUGUAAUAGAGUUCCUUUUUACAUUGUAAUUUGUUUGGUUAUGUUAGGUUGAAAAUCAUUUUUUACACAUUCUGGUAUCAAUGAGAUCACUUAUUAAUGUAUUUGAUUACA